CUCCCUCUUAGGCACUUCUCCUUUCCUCCCCCAGAAACGCACAAACGAGAGCCCGUGUGUAAGCUCAUUGCUUCGUUGCUUCAGCAUUAAGAUCCGCUCUGCACUCAGCUGUCAAGUUUGUCUUGACUCUGAGUAACGUAGGGAUGGUCUAUCGUAAAAGAGGGAUGCUUUAGGGAGACGGCUCACAUGAGCUUUAGAUAAAUGUUUGGACUUGGCCGGUGGCUUUCCAUCAGUCAGAUGUGGAGCAAGGAGGUGCAGGGAGUAAUUAAUGAGCCACCGUUGGCACUCAAAGCGCAGCCUCAUUAAAUGCUGUGUGCGUUGGGCUUCCUGUUGAAAUAACAGGAGCGAGCUGGUCAGAGCCGUGCUUCUCACAUGGCACGUGGGAAGCUGCUGGGGAGGUGUCAUCGCUCCUCAGAACAGCAAUGCAAAACAAAACCCAGCUCCGAGGGUAGAAAGCAGUAGGCUGCUGGAAGAGAUGCUAACAUGGGUGGUGUGCUGUUACAACAAGAAUUCCAGAACCACAUCGCUCUGCCAUGAAUGAAUAUUGACUCGUGAACAGGUGAGCCUGCUGAUCAGCACACAUCCAGACCUGUGGUUUAAGGACAGUGGCAAACAGCUGAAAAAGUAUUAAUUACUGUCACGGUCUUCCAUUGACAUUAACUGCAUUUUGAAUGCCUUCCCCAGUGUGCCCAAAUACCUUAAGAAAUGCUCUCAAUGAAGGCACUCGGUUCAGCUCGGGCCCAGUCCAGAAAAAAACAGUGUUUGUCCUCAGAGGGAAAUAUUAAAAAGAAAUGGCCAAAACACACUCACUGUCUCUUGUCUGGAGUAAACAGCCCUCGCUCAUCAGGAUAUUGCAAAAUCUCAAUGUCGUCUUUGCAUCGGUCUCAGAAAUGCCUUCUUUCAUGUUUGAGUCUAUUAGAUUAUUUUAUUCUGGACAAUGACUCAGGACAUAAUAAGCCACAUGUUUAUCACAGCCAUGUCAGAUAGCUGGAACUCAUGCUAUCUGAAGUGAACUGUGGGGAUUUGCGUAGGUUUCGGCAAGUACAAAACAGAUGCUCUUCCCAGUGGCUCUGGUUUAUGUAUGUACAGGCAGUGAGUCUGUGCACAUAUUCCUUCCCUGGCUGCAGCAUAAGCAAACCUCGAUCUUCACUCCUGAAGAGAUUAAUCGUUCAGGCUGAGGCUGUAUUUCACCCUUAAUAAUUCUUGUGGAAACUGUGCCCCUCUGGAACAAGGAACAAAACAAAGUCUGGCAUAAAAUUUGUGAGAGCUGAACAAAAUUCAGCUGAACCAAACCAGCUGUUGAACUCUUUUGCACAGUGGCUCCAGUAAAUUGGGAAUAUGAUCACUUUUUAGGUAGUGCUGAGGUUUCUUUCCCUUCAAGAGAAUUGUUAUGGCAUACAUAAAUUUCUAUUCAGACUUCUUUUAAAAAUCCCCA
Molecule: long non-coding RNA, 1435 nt
Filed under: Gallus gallus (chicken)
Lineage: Eukaryota; Metazoa; Chordata; Aves; Galliformes; Phasianidae
Description: lncRNA (ENSGALG00010001936.1)
Source: RNAcentral